CGGGUGGCAGCAGUGGGGAAUAUUGGGCAAUGGACGAAAGUCUGACCCAGCGACGCCGCGUGCGGGAUGAAGGCCUUCGGGUUGUAAACCGCUUUCAGCAGGGAAGAAGCGAAAGUGACGGUACCUGCAGAAGAAGCACCGGCUAACUAUGUGCCAGCAGCCGCGGUAAUACAUAGGGUGCAAGCGUUGUCCGGAAUUAUUGGGCGUAAAGAGCUCGUAGGUGGUUAGUUACGUCGGACGUGAAAAUCUAGGGCUCAACCCUAGACCUGCGUCCGAUACGGGCUAGCUUGAGUUUGGUAGGGGAGACUGGAAUUCCUGGUGUAGCGGUGGAAUGCGCAGAUAUCAGGAGGAACACCAAUGGCGAAGGCAGGUCUCUGGGCCAAUACUGACACUGAGGAGCGAAAGUGUGGGGAGCGAACAGGAUUAGAUACCCCCGU
RNAcentral lists this ribosomal RNA (437 nucleotides) under uncultured Actinomycetales bacterium. Its description in RNAcentral is "bacterial SSU rRNA". It matches the Rfam family "Bacterial small subunit ribosomal RNA", at positions 342 to 791 of the family's 1533-position model. The record is from RNAcentral. Lineage: Bacteria; Bacillati; Actinomycetota; Actinomycetes; Actinomycetales.